GUAUUCUUACCCUGAGUUUUGUUUCCCCAGAGAUCAUUAUGUUAUUCCUAGAAAUUUCCCAAAGCCCUAAAGCUUUUCAAAAGCCCCUGUAUUAGCAUGGAAUCUCUGGGAAAAAGGCCACAUCCAGGCUGGGAUGGUGAGUGAGUCUUAGCAUCUAUGUUGCAGUGAGAUUCAGGACCCCAGCACAAAGCCACGUGUGUUGUGCACAGCACAGGUCCUGUGUUACGUUCCUCAAGUAGAUCAGUGGUCAUGGCACCACCUCAGUAUGUGCAGUGACACAUGUCAGGAUUGACAGGGUCCAGACAGAAGGUUCGAUGUGUUCCAAAGUGUGCAGCAUUGCUCAACCUUUCAUACUUCUUAACACACAUGGAGCAUGUGUAUGUGCACAGCACAGUGGGCGAAUGGGCAAAGCUGUUCACAGUUAGAUGUCCCAGGCUAAGGGGUUCCAGCUGCCCAGGUUUGGCUCCCUAGAUUUCCUCUAACCCAAUUUUUUCAUAUUAGGUGCCACAAAAGACAUUAGUGAAUUCUGGUUUGCAGUUGCAGACUCAUUACCACUCAGAAAAGCACUUCCAGAAUUCGCUAAGACUCUUGACCCUGUAUCUCCUUGGCUAAUUCAUGACUUUGGGCCUAUCUGAAGUAGUCAUUUCAGAGCCCUGAGAGUAUUUAGAGAGAAAUACAAUUAAGAAAAUGUGGAGUGUGAAAGGCCAUGUCUAUCCUUACACAGUUAUGGAGUGUUUUAAAUAUGAUUAAGUAAGAUGGAGUGUGUGAAAGCAUUUUAUAAACCACAGUGUAAAUUUUUAUGUUUAAUACUACUACUAGUGCAUGACUGAUUAGGCAGAUAGUCCUCACUUACUGAUUAUAAUGCUGCAAAUCCCCAAAUGUCCAAUCCAAACCAUCCACUAAAGUAAUGAGUAAAAUACAUGCAAAUAGAAGGGCAAACAUUCUAUUUUUUUUCUCCUCUAACACAAGAAAACAUUGGGCUGUUUUUAGAAGUGUAUGAUUCACAAAGAAGAAGAAUAAUGGUGCCUAAAAUUAGGAACAUCUAGUUCAAACCACCUAGAGUAAUGAAAAUAUGGUGAGUUUAAUGCCUUAAAACAUCUCACAAUAGCAGUUUGGAAGAAAUAACUAAGUGACUAAAUAUUUAAUAUUACCAGGAAAUGUUAAACAAAGGUGGGUUACUCUAAUGUAACUUUAUCUUUAGUUUGUUUUUUACAUAAGUUAAAAUAUGAUUAAUUGGAACCAUAAAUAAUGAUGGUAAUAAGAAUGAUUAUAGAGGUCACUGCCAUCUUUUUCUGAGGUGUUCAAUGUAUCCUGUAUGUGGUACUACCUUGGAGACAAAGCCUAAAGCAGAGAUGUUCAGGGUAGCUCCCCUGAUCGACUCCCAUUCAUUCAUUCAUUCAUUCAUUCAUUCAUUCAACAAAUACCGUAUUUCACCAACUCUAAGAGUUGUCAGUUGUAAGACAUGCAAUUAUUUUAUAUACCACAAGGAAAAGUUGAUGUCAAUUAAAGUAUGACAUGCCAUUGAUUGCAACACACAGCUCCAACUUCAAAGACUUUUAAGUAAAAACACAUGCAUCUUAGAACCGAAUAAAAACAAUACUUUUUAAGUGUAGUAUACCUUAGGGAGAAGGCUUGCAGAUUCAGACAACUGGGUUAAAAUCCUGGUUUGACCUCCAGUGACCUUGAGUGCUCCCUAAGUCUGACUUUUCUCACCUGUAAAUUAGGGCCGGAGAAGUAGCUUCCUCAAGAAAAAGUUGUUAAUUAAAUUAAAACGAGUCAAAAUCUAAGCUGGGUCAUUGCUUUUAUUAAAAGUCUCACUCCAGUAUUAUUGUGUGAUGAAAGUUCAGCAACAGGAAGACCAGCUAUGGGCUGCUCUAGACUAGAUAGGGAACUAGUAUAGAGUAGUUGGAGCAACAAUGGGGGCUUGAAUGAGUGAACAGGAUGUAGAUGAGAUACAGAUUGGAAAUGACAGAUCGACUGCAUGGGGAUGAGGAGAGAGAAAGAGAAGUCAAGGGUAAGUUCUAGGUUUUUGGUUUGAGCCCAGUUCGAUGGUGCCAUCUAUGUAGAUAAAGAAACCGGGAAGAAUUACAUGUUCUGUUUUGAAUUUACUCCUUUUGAAAGGUCACCAGGGAAGCUUGUUUAGAAUACUCAUUCCAUGGCCCUCCCCAUGGAGAUCCUAAUUCUAUAGGGGGUCUCCUCCAGCGAGUCAGAUGUGCUGCGUGAAGUUUUGAGAAGAGUCUAAAUCUUGGAAAACAUGGUACCUUCAUCUUUUACAAGUUCAUUGGUGCAUUAUUUUGUGUGAAUGUGUGUGUGUGUAAAAAAAUGCAGUUGUACUGGUUUGAAUUCAACUAUAUGUGUAGUAAGGGUACCCAUAACUGAAAAAAGUAGUAAUCCAUAGAAAUAACAUAAAUGAGAAUACGUUUGAAGAUGAUGGGUUUUUUUUGUCAUGUUAUUCUUCCUCCUUCUUUAGGGCCUUUGUACCCAUGGUUACUAAGAGCUUCCUCUCUCCCUCUCCCAAUCUGCACAGUUAACUCCUCCCCAUCUUUGUAGCUCAGUGCAAAUCUCACCUCAUCUGGACACCUUCCUGGUCUCUCAGACAGGCUCCUUGUGCUGCUUGUGUUCAUAACACCCCACGCAUAGCACAUUGUGUGUGUGGGAUCUAAUUUUAUUAUUAACUUUCUUCCCUGCUAGAUUGAAAACAUCUUGGGAGCAGGAAACAUUUUUAUUUUGGUCAGCAUUUUAUCCACAGCAUGGAAAACAGUGCCUGGGCAUAUUAGGUCCUCAAUAAAUAAUGGGGAAUAAAUAAAUACAUGUGGGUGUUUUUUUAUCCAGUUCCAUGUAUAAUUAAUUUUCUCCUCAUUGGUGGCAGUUUUCGCUGCACUAAUUUUUAGGAGGGUCUUUGGGGACCCUAGGGCCAAAUGGACCAGAAAGAAGAUAAAAUGAUUCAGAAAUAUAAGAAAAUAUAAUUGGACUAAAAAAAGUCCUUACAUAGACCUAAAUGUCAGCAACAACAUAAAUCUACUGAAUUCCCCUCUUGACCCUCUGUGGCGUCCUGAUGUUCCAACAGAGUUUUACAGUCCUGACGCGAGAGUAGUGCUAGAGGGAGAACUGUCUCCAGCCCGUGUUGGGUAUGUACCAGAAACCAUCAGCCACGGGGAAGCUGGAGCUUAGUAUGACCCACUCCCAUUCCUCAAGGAAUUAUUGAAGUAAUCAUGCCUGGGGCUUCCAUGGCAAAUGUUCUUUUCUUGUGGCUAAUCUGGGUUAUUCAUCAAAUGACUAAAGGUGACUACAUGGGCCUAAGUCCAGCUGAGUUUCCUGACUAGUUUUCCAAAUGAUUCAAAUCUACUGAUGCAAUUCCUAGCAUAGAAUUGCCUCAGAUGUCCAUUAAGCCCUUGCCAAUGAUAUAGCCUGUCUAUUUCAGGGCACUGUACGUUUAACCCAAGGUACAGGUAAUGCAUAUUCUCAAGCAUAGCCCAACCAUAUCACAUUUCUUUCCUCCAAGUCAUAAUGUCACUCUCUGAAUGACUAAUGUAAAUCAAGGGGUAUGGAAUAGCCUUGUGCAACUGAAUAUUUUUUUUCCCAGUUGGUUCUUAGAUAUCUUGCUUCUUAGGUUAUUACUGCAAAGGUAGGCUGUACUGGGGGAAAAGAAAUGACAGAGAAGAGAGGAGAUAAUGGGAAAUGUAUAGAAAAUGCUACCAAGGAAAUGUAGUGAGCUAGGUUGGUGAGUUAUUUAGUCAGGAAGACUUUCUCAUUGAUAGUUCAGGGGCAUGCCUUCACACCGCUGUUUGUUAGGAAAUAGGCUAUACUGCUACUCACAUUCCAAUUUGAUCCUCAGUGUUCUGGGAGCUCAGCUUAUCCUAUGCUAUGGAUGCCAUUUGACUGAUUAUUCUUUCAUAUUUUUGAAAACAAGGAAUGAUGAGACAUUAAUAUAGAAGCUCCUAGUGUGCCAGUAUUUAGAAGAGUGAUUCUAUAUGUGGCUGGACAAAAAGACAUGCAUUAAUGCAAAAGUGAUCCAGGACCAGGGUAUCUGAAGUUUUUGUAAAACAACAGUGUUGAGGUGCAUGUGAGAAGUGGCAGCAACCUCGUUGUAAUGAAUUUACUGCCCUUGUGCUGCCUUGAGGGAGGCCGAUCACUUCUGACUAGUGAAUUACACUGUGGAAUCCUGACUUCCUUGCUCAGGACUAGGGCUGGGCAAGUGGUUUGCCUGGCCCUCUUGUGUAUGUGCUGUGGUAAUGUCAGCUCCAUCAAAUGCUUAGGAGAUGAAAGAAAAAAAUGUUUCAGACUUGAGGUGGGGAGCAGCAACUUGUACUCAGGACACAAAGAAGAAAGUACUGGCGAGAAGGAUAGAGCACCUUAACAUUCCGGAGCCCUGACACACGGGAGUGUUCCCUGAAUUAGCUGUUAUUAGAUCAAAUGUCCUGACUACCUUGAGCCAAAUGGGCAUGGGAAAACAGUGUUGAUUUGAUUUUCUUGACUCAUUGCAACUAUGAGCUCUCUGGUGGACAGCAAGGGUUGGUAUCACUAAUUACUAUAAAUAAAAUACAAACUUGUUUGGUUUUAUCUAAGCUGGUGUAAUUGUCAGAGGUAGAAACAUAUGCCAAGAGGAGUCUGUCAGCAAAAAGAGUUUGGGGCAAAAAUCUUGUGCAGUUAGAUCAUUACAGGUUUGAUUCCCAAAGGAUUGGAUUCAGUCUGUAUGGAACUCCCUGGGGGAUUCAGAAGGCUGCCCUAGUUGUUGUUUAGUUAGUUAAAAAUUAAAGCCUGUAGGACACAAUUCUUACCAAUUAUAUUUGAGAUAUGGAAGCAGCCUAUGAGACAAAUCCAAGGUGAAGUUUUGCAGCAGGAGUUCUUAACAUUGGGGCUCAAUAGUGAGUUUUAAAAGCUUACAAACCACCGGAACCUAUGUAGAACAUUUUGUGUAUUUAUACUUGAGUGUCUCUGUUUUUUCUUGAUUCUGAAGGAACAGCCUUACAUCCAAGGUGUCAGGACCAUAGCCUUUCAAUCUGUAUGUCAUGUCACAAACAAAGGGCUUUUCCAACCAAGUCCAGUGUGAACAGAGAUAUCUCCUACAUAGCUCCACAAACCCAACACCUCAUAAAGGUUUUGUCUUGGUUUGAAUUGUAUAAUUUUAUUAGUUAUGGAAAUAGAUACAAACCAUGGGAGCAUGCAGGUAGAGACCCAGAGGAUUUCAGAUCUUGGGAAGCCUUCUGAGAUCAACUUGUCCAACAUUAAUUUCGUUGAUGAGGAAACUGAGGCUUGGAGGUGCAGCAGCCUGCUGCAGGUCCCCUAGCAACCCAAGGCUGGGUUUGGAUGGAAAAGCAUCUCUUGGCUGCCUGCUUCAUAUUUUCUGUAUUCUACCCAUCCCUGAUCAUCAGGAAAAUAGGAAGACAUCGGUAUGCAAUGAGAGUAAUGCUACCUCUAGUAUUCGAAUCUGAUUGUGUUUUGCUGAGAGCCUGUCUAGGAAUGGUGCUCCCUGUGACCAGUGAACAGGGAGCCAAGACCUCAGUUCUUCUCUCUGAGAUCCUACUUGUAGCAUCAUAGAAGACAUUUGAUGCACGUCUAUGCAGAUCUCUCGCACUUACUCACUGAGAAGUUUUAAUUGUCUGGAUGUCCUUUAUAUUUUCUCAUUUUAUUUUCAUUUUUUCUUGCCUGUUAAAUUGUAAUAUGAACACUUACGGAAAAAGAAAUUUUGUAUUUGACAGACAGCAUCUGUUGCCACAGAUCUUAGCUCCUUUUCGAGUAACCAAACACAAAUGAGAAUUAUGGGCACUGGCGAAAGUGACGUGGUGUGGGGUAGAAUCAUUUAUUUUAUUUUCAUUUGUCUUUCUCCGGCAUCCUUCCACAAGAAGAGGACCCCUCCUCCACACGUGCACUCUGCAGUCUGGGCUCCUCUUCCUGGCAUCUGUCUUACUCUUACAGUUAGUCAAGUGCAGGAGGUAUAGUUUGAUGGUUCUUCCUUCUGACCUUCCAUCAACUCUAGAAGUGAACCUUCAGAGGAAAUUAAAGCUGAAGAGGGUGGUUGGGCACAGGCACUUGGGGAGGGGACCAGGGCUCACCUAUCUUCCAACCCCGCACUCUGUCCGCUCCAACCCCACACUUUGCCCUCUUCCUUUUACAUCCUCAAGCUCUUCACAGAGAGGCUGGAAAUGAAGCCAAGUCUAGGGCACGAGAGAGGAGAGUGAUGAGGACUCAAUGAACCUGGAAUUCAGCCAAAAAUACACAAAUAUGUCCAAUGAAAUCUGCAUGCACACUUCUGGAUCCUUGAUUGUAAUGGUCAGGAUGAUGAGAAAUCAUUGUAAACUAUAUCUAGAGACUCCUCUUUUCAUCACUAUUUCUUGUUAUUUUAAAGAUGAAUCUUAGGAAUAACAGGUGUCAUCUGUUUUGAAGAGUUAAAUAAUUACAGUAAAUACUACACACACACAUGCAUGCACACACACACACACACACACACUUGUACUGAAAAUUCUGAGAUUUUUGCCUACUCUCAACAUCUUUUACUUUUCUAGACUUUAGGAUAUGUGACAGUUUAUUCUCUCUUGUUUUACUUGUGUCAUAUAGAGGGCAGCUUGGGGCUAACAUUAUUUCCUGUUCCAGAAAAAGCCACUGUCUUUUAUUAAGCAAUGCUUCUUUCCAAGUGCUGCAGUGUUCAUCCCUCAAGUUUUCCUUAAGGAGUCACUUCAAAUAUCUGCAGAAAUGGCAGUUAGGAUCACGCAUUUUAUCUUCUUAUGAACUAUUCUGGAAACACAGACAAUGCAUUGGCUGUGGAUCUUGCCCACAUUCACACUUUCAAUUUUCAUUUAUCGAAAAUGCUGCUUCCCCAAUUUUUCCUUGCAGAAAUCUUAUAAAACAUAAAAUCACUUAAUUAUUGAAUUCUAAAGCUAGAUGGAACAUCAGCAAUCUUCCAUCAUAACAUCUUAUAUAAAAGAUAAGGAAAGGGAAAUUCAACUAGUGAUAAAAUCUGGACUACAGCCUAAUUCUACUGAUUAGCAUUUCAGUUCUGUAUCCAAAAUAUCACAGUGCUACUCAGAAAUGCCACGGUUCAAGAUUCACUGGAAGCAAGGUAAGUGCUACAGAAACUCCAGGAAGUUCUAAUAAAACAAAUACACUGAGAGAGGAAUAAUUCAUUUUCAAAUAAUGUUAACAAUCCCUAAAAUAUUGAAAUAAACUCAUACACUCUCACAUCAUGCCAAGAGAAGGGAUCCAAGUUAUUUGGAGGCUUUCAUGGGAGUAAAAAUCAACAUUCAAAAAACGAAAGUCAACCCAGGUCACCUUCAUAAAGGAUAACGCACCAAAAUGCCUCAGACAUGAAUUGUAAGAAUGGAUCUUAACAUGAGCUCAGGAAUUAGGGAGCCUUUUCUAUAAACAGUGUGUGUUUCUAACAACGUAAUAGGUAUGUGACAGCGAAGGUAUAGCGUUAUGGAAAACAGAAAAAUCUGAAUGAGAAGGCAGAGACUCAGAGAGCUCAGCUAUUCACAAGUCAUGGGGAUAUUAAUUUGCAUUUAUUGCCUUGGAGGCGGAUAAAGUUGGACGCUCAUGGAAAUAGUGCCUGAAUUGAGAACAGAGAGAGGAAAGAAUUGAUACUUUAGAAUGGCUUGUUUGAGCAGUUAUGGGAUGACAAAGGAGAUAUACUAUGCACUCAAGUCCCAAUGAAUAAGUUCUGAAACAAAUUAGCUCUGGGAUUUGGUUUAAAAAUUUUUUUAAAUGCUGAAAAGAGGUAAUACUUCAUUACUGCAUCAGAUACCACUAAUCUCAAUUAUUUUUUACUGCUUCUGUGACGAAGGGUAAACGACUGAUGUGUGCAUAUGUAUUUGGCAAAUAGUAGCACAACGGCCUGCAGUUUUCCACAUCCAUCCUUUAGCAUAUAUUCUUCUCUUUAGUGAGAAGUACCUCAAAUUUUUACCAUUGUGGAAAUAGAAAGUCCUUACAAAUGUGUCGUGAACCCAUAUUGCAUGUUUUAAUUAAACAAGUCCAUCCAUUAGAUUCCUAUAAUUGGUUAGUGCUCCUGUCUUUUGUUUCAAACUCACAGUUCAGAAGGUAUAAGAUAAAGAUGGAGUCGGUCCAGUGAAAUGUGCUGAACCUCAAUUAAGUUUUAGUGUUAAUUCAUUUGCUAACUUAUUUCCAGCUUGAACAAUAGUUGUCAUUCAUCAUCACUGUCAUCAUCACCAUCCACAGCAACAAAAAUGAACAUUUGUGGAUUGUCAGUCAUGAAUAUGCUUAGUACAUCCCACUGGUCAGAAAGCAGUCCUUGGAUGAGUAUUCUCAACGCUUCAAGUUAGACAUCUGGAUCUACUGUGUACAAGCCUUGAUGGGGCAAUAUUUAACAACAGGAGCAGAAGAGCCACUGCACAUUUGCAUGGCUGGAAAGGAGUAGAUAUUCCACCGAAAGAAGAGAGAUGUGAUUCUACAGAAGUGUUUGGCUAGAGUGGCUAGGGACUGUCCAUCCCUCACAAUCCUCCUUGCAUUCAUGAGAUGCUCAUGUCAGGGGACAUCCUAAUAUUAGGAGUAGUGGAGGAAUCCUAAAGUAUGGCAGUGACUUAUCUCUGAAUCACAAGGGGUCCAGUAUACUUGGAAUCCAGGCCAACCUGCAGCAAUUGUCCUCCAUCAGUGCCUGCACCAAGAAAAAAAAAAAAAAAAUCACUACAGGCUCUAUUCAGGGCGAUUUUCUGUGCUCAUUCUGAUGAACAUUCUCUUACCAAGCUUCCAUUUCCAGAAAAGGUAGGUCCGUGACUUGCCCCUAUAAGCUCCUUUCAAAGCCACGUCCUCCUAGAUGGAACUCUAAAUCUGACUGAAGACCUGGAAGGCAGAAUACCCUUUCCUGUGGUGUCCACAUGUUCCCUCUGAAGACUGCAACUCAGCAGACUGAGGUUCACACAGUACACUCAGCAGAAGAUGAGAGUAAGCUCCUGCUGAGGCAGGCUAGGAAGGGCUCCUAUCUGGUGAACCCAUCAAUCACAGUCAAGCUGGUUCAACAAAGAACGUGCUCUUGCAUAACCAGGGCUCUAAAGAUCCACAAGGCAAGAAAACUAUUGAGUUGGCAAAUAGGUAAAAUUAAGUCCUCAUCAGUGCCCCUUACAAAGUUGGUUCUGACUCAACUCUCUCUCCUGGGAGGGUGAUGAUAGCUAUUUGAAGCAUGAUUAGCAGUAGCAGAUAUUACUAAUGUCUACUGGUGGUCAUUUAGUAGAUAUUGGUAUUCACUAGUACAUAGUAUAUGUGAAAGAUCAAGCUCCCAUUCAGACAAAGGCUGUGGGCACUGUGUUCUGCUGUCUCAGCCAAGCCUCAGAACUGCCUCUUUGCAGGUGCCUUGGCACAUGGUAUUCAGAGGUGUUUCUGGGCUCCAGUUUAGGAAUAUGGAGCUCACCUAUCUUUUCCCCACUCUAUUCCAGUAAGCCACGCUUUGCACCCAAACCCUCAGGCCAGUGUCUACUGAGGUGCUAGGCAUGGGAGGGUUAGUCAAUCCCACCCACCCACUUUCAUUCUAAGGAGACUCAGAGCCCUUUCUCUUUCAUGGUUCCUGGGCAUAGGGAGGGAGAAACACCAGUGCAGUCAAGAUUCCUGAGGCUUGGACAGGUAGUUCCAGACCUUGCUGCCAGGAAAAACUUGGGGCAUCUGGGAUGUGGCUGGGGCUAGGGGUGAAAGGGUAGAAGGACACAAAGAAAGGUGAAGUCAAUAGCUUUCUUCAGUCUUGCCAGAAGCAACUGGAAAUGACACAGCUCCAUCCCAGUCCUUCCUGGUUCCUCUCAGGUGAAGCUGACCUGGAAACACAAGUGCCGUCAUUCCUGUGUGUUUUGGCUCGGACCCAUUUCUGAGUCUCAGUUCCUCUUAUGUGGCUAGAGGUGAGGUUUGGAGGUCGGGUUUGAAGGACUGGUUGAUGGCAGAUUAUUUAAAACUAAACAUGAUGUUUCAAGCUGGCUUUCUGUUUUGUUUUUUGUGGGGAGAUUUUUUUUUUGGCUUAUGGGAGUUUUCUUGUUUACUUUCUGUGACAGUGACUUUCUGCUGCCUCCCAGAAAUAAUAGGGCCUAAAUUCGUCUCCCUGACUACACUUGGCCUUUGCCCACGUUGUGUGGUGAGAUGUUUGAGCACAAGCAGGACACUGGCAGCCCUGGCCAGGACCUCCUGAAGGCACUGAAAAUGCAGUCCCUAUCAGACGCACCUUCACCUUGCCUCAGUGUGAGGAUGGAGGAGGUCCCAUGUCCUUCCUGUUUGUCAUCUCAGCACUUACCACCCCUCCAUCCCCGGAGAGUUUAAGAGCCCAUCCUCCCCCAUCCUUCAAACCUGAGCCAGGCAGGCUGUGACCCCGCCCCGCUGUAGAAUGAGGUACCACACCAGGCAGGCUGUGACCCCGCCCCGCUGUAGAAUGAGGUACCACACCAGGCAGGCUGUGACCCCGCCCCACUGUAGAAUGAGGUACCACACCAGGCAGGCUGUGACCCCACCCCGUUGUAGAAUGAGGUACCACACCAGGCAGGCUGUGACCCCGCCCCGCUGUAGAAUGAGGUACCACACCAGGUGAAGAGGGACAUGGAACACUUUUUAAUGUCAAGUCAGAGACAACCCCACCCUCCCGGAUCCCCCAAUCCCACUUUCCCUCAUCACAUCCAGGACCUCUCCCCGAGGACUCUCUGGUUCCCAGACUUUCAGGGGAGGGAAAAAAAAGAUUACCUAAAAAUUGCAUUUUUUUUUCUCUUUCAUACACACUCACACAAAGGUGGGAAAUUAAAUAAACCAAGAGGAUUAAACUCUCCAGUGGUCACGAAGGCAUCAGAGAUUCCCAUAAUGGGCUAAAGCAAGUGGGUACUGACGGUUCUGCUUGUUCAGUUGCUUGCUGUCGGUUAAUGCCACAGAGCAGGAUGGAGAAAGCGGGGCCACCGGGGGUGGCCGACGCACAGAGCCACACCUGGAAAGAUGCUGCGCCUGGUAUUAGUCAGAUUUUUUUUUAUCUUUUCACUUUUUAUAAAUGUCUCUGACAUGUAAAUAACCCAAGAAAAUAAAAAGGCAGGAGCUGAUUACACAAUUACCAGUAAACUCUAUCAUCUUUUAGAAGAUCAACACACAGCUAACGCCAUAUACAGCAUGCAGUAAUGUCUGAGAAAGGACCCUGCGGAGAAAUAAAAUGGCUAGAACUCUAACAAAAAAAAUAUAUGUAUAUAUAUACUGUAUAAUAUAUGUCAUCAAAAGAAGCAUAGCCAACAAACCCAAGAUACAGUGCAGAUCACCUUUCCAUUUCUAAACAGUGUGUAGAGAGCAUAGUAUUGUCUGCAUGAGAUGCCACAGUCGGGAGGAAUCUGUAGCGCUGGUGGAGAUGUUGGUUAAAUCGGAUGUAUUUUUUGGUGGAUAUGCCAAAUCCUCACCAGGCGAUUAGUGCCUGGUGUCUGGUCCACCAGUUGUAAACCUAGUUUAGAAGUAUACUAUUCAUUUUUACUGUUUAACAAACAUACUUCUCUUCACCCUUUUCAGUUGUAUUUUUUUAGUUUUGUCUUGUUUUUGCACUAAGUUCUAGACUCAUAUCAGAAAAUAUAAUUAAUAAAAUUAAUAAUGAAUCAGAAUCCCUUGUUAUCCAUGAUGUCCAUGUAGUAAAAUGAU
Long non-coding RNA from Cercocebus atys (sooty mangabey), 11577 nucleotides. RefSeq lists it as uncharacterized. Lineage: Eukaryota; Metazoa; Chordata; Mammalia; Primates; Cercopithecidae. The transcript has 2 exons. The record is from RefSeq and is a predicted model, not a curated record.